This 552-nucleotide ribosomal RNA is filed under the name uncultured fungus. RNAcentral's name for it is "eukaryotic LSU rRNA". The stretch from base 197 to 350 matches the Rfam family "5.8S ribosomal RNA". The record is from RNAcentral. Lineage: Eukaryota; Fungi.
CUCCGUAGGUGAACCUGCGGAGGGAUCAUUACACAAAUAUGAAGGCGGGCUGGAACCUCUCGGGGUUACAGCCUUGCUGAAUUAUUCACCCUUGUCUUUUGCGUACUUCUUGUUUCCUUGGUGGGUUCGCCCACCACUAGGACAAACAUAAACCUUUUGUAAUUGCAAUCAGCGUCAGUAACAAAUUAAUAAUUACAACUUUCAACAACGGAUCUCUUGGUUCUGGCAUCGAUGAAGAACGCAGCGAAAUGCAAUAAGUAGUGUGAAUUGCAGAAUUCAGUGAAUCAUCGAAUCUUUGAACGCACAUUGCGCCCUUUGGUAUUCCAAAGGGCAUGCCUGUUCGAGCGUCAUUUGUACCCUCAAGCUUUGCUUGGUGUUGGGCGUCUUGUCUCUAGCUUUGCUGGAGACUCGCCUUAAAGUAAUUGGCAGCCGGCCUACUGGUUUCGGAGCGCAGCACAAGUCGCACUCUCCAUCAGCAAAGGUCUAGCAUCCAUUAAGCCUUUUUUCAACUUUUGACCUCGGAUCAGGUAGGGAUACCCGCUGAACUUAAGC